AUUAAAAAAUUUAUUUUAAUAAUUUUUAAAAAAAGUAUUUUUUUGUUUUAUUAUUAAUAAAGAAAAAAUAUAAUUUAUUAUAAAUUAAAGUAUAGUGAUAGAAAAUUUAAAUAUAUUUAAAAUAUAAAUUUUUAUAAGAAAAAUUUAAUUUUUGUACCUUGUGUAUCAGGGAUUAUUAAAUUAAUUUUAUUUAUUUAAAUUUCUCGGUUUUAAAAGAGUUAAAAUUUUAUCUAUUUUAUUGUUAAAUUAAUAUUUUAAAUAAAAUUUUAGUAAUGAAACGUUAUUCGUUUUUAAAUAUAUCUAGUUUUUCAAGAAAUAAAUUUAAUUUAUUUAUUAAUAUUAAUUAAUAUUAUUAUUAAUUUUAAUUUUAUUAAUAAAAAAUAUUUUAAGGGAUAAGCUUUAAAAUAAAUUUAUAUAAAAUAUUAUUUAUUAAAAUAUUUAUAGAAUUAAAAAUUUUUAUUAUUUAUAAUUUGUUAUAAUUAGUUUUUUUAUAUAUAUUAUUUAUUAAUUUUUAUAUUUUUUAUUGAAAUUAUUUAUUUAAUUUUAUUUUAAAUGUAAUAAUGAUAAUAUUAGUAUAAUUAUUUUGUUUAAAUAUUUUAUUUAAAUAAGGUUAAGUUAAGGAAUUCGGCAAAUAUAUUUUUCGCCUGUUUAUUAAAAACAUGUCUUUUUGAUUAUAAUUUAAAGUCUAACCUGCCCAAUGAUUUAUUUAAAUGGCUGCAGUAUUUUGACUGUACAAAGGUAGCAUAAUCAUUAGUUUUUUAAUUGAAAGCUAGAAUGAAUGGUUGAACGAGAAAAUUACUGUCUCAAUUUAAUUUAAUUAGAAUUUUAUUUUUAAGUUAAAAAGCUUAAAUAAAUUUAAAAGACGAGAAGACCCUAUAGAGUUUAAUAUUUUAUUAAAUAAAAAUUUUAGAAUUUUAAUUAUUUAAUAAAAUAUUUUAUUGGGGUGAUAAAUAAAUUUAAUAAACUUUAUUUUUUAUACUACAUUUAUUUAUGAUUUAUUGAUCCAUUUUUUAUGAUUAAAAGAUUAAAUUACCUUAGGGAUAACAGCGUAAUCUUUUUAAAGAGUUCAAAUCGAAAAAAAGGAUUGCGACCUCGAUGUUGGAUUAAAGUUAAAUUUUGGCGUAGAAGUUAAAAUAUUAAGUCUGUUCGACUUUUUAAACUUUACAUGAUCUGAGUUUAAACCGGUGUGAGCCAGGUUGGUUUCUAUCUUUAAAAAAAAUAAAUAUUUUAGUACGAAAGGACCAUUUAUUUAUAAAAUUUAUUAAAAGUUGAAUAUUAUU
RNAcentral lists this ribosomal RNA (1280 nucleotides) under Ochthebius plesiotypus. Its description in RNAcentral is "16S ribosomal RNA". The stretch from base 1040 to 1198 matches the Rfam family "Archaeal large subunit ribosomal RNA", at positions 2542 to 2701 of the family's 2987-position model. Lineage: Eukaryota; Metazoa; Arthropoda; Insecta; Coleoptera; Hydraenidae. The record is from RNAcentral.